This is an RNA transcript of Mauremys reevesii (Reeves's turtle), 1671 nucleotides long. It is a transcript of the gene named ubiquitin conjugating enzyme E2 U, with no coding region annotated. The transcript is spliced from 12 exons. The record is from RefSeq and is a predicted model, not a curated record. NCBI's taxonomy places the organism in Eukaryota, Metazoa, Chordata, Testudines, Geoemydidae.
UUGCUGGGUAACACUAUACACAGAGUCCAGCCUAUUCCUUGUACUUCUGCUAUGUGCUGGGGGGGCUCCCAGCUGCCCUGAUGCUCCUUCUCCUCCUAUAGACACUCUCCAACCAUAUAAGAAAAUUCAAUGGAUCAGGAAUAAGCUCCUUAGCUGGGUUUGUUUAGCCUCUGCUACUAAGCGUUCACCAGCUCUGCGUGGUGCUUUUAGCUCUGACUGACCCUUUUGGAUUUCAGCUCAAGGCCAUUAGCCUCUUUAAACUCCAUGCAAAGCCUUUAGAAAUUAUGUGCACGAGCCACUAACCGCUGUGAGGCAGGAAUUAGAGUCAUCACCUGCCCUUUUGCAAGACGACAGCCUCCGUGAAGCAAGAACUAUAUUGUGGGGGAAGGCGAGAGAGAGAGUCCUGCACAAGUUCUCUUAUUGCUAUGCAUUCCAGAGCUUACUUCUUGUUGGAAAGAGAGUAUCUGGAGUAUAAAGAAGCCAACAUUUUUGGCAUCUUUGUCAUUCCUUCAAAGGAUAAUUUGCUGGAAUGGCUAGCCGAAGUCCAGGGACUCAAGGAUUCUCUUUGGGAAGGGGCUGUUCUCCAGCUGUCAAUAAAGUACACUGAAGAGUACAAUAGUGUCCCUCCAACUCUGAUAUUUAACACCAUUCCAUUCCAUCCCAAUGUGGAUCAACAUUCCGGGAGACCUUGUAUAGAUUUUCUAGACAAUCCUAAAGAGUGGAAUGGAAAGUUAACGAUGAGUAGCAUUUUACUCGCUAUCCAGGUAAUGCUUUCUAAUCCAGAACUGGAAAAUGCAGUGAAUGUGGAAGCAGCAGAAAUGCUGAAAAACAACAUAUCCUUGUACAGACAAAUGGUUAUACGAUGUGUUAGAACUAGCCAGCACCUAGAAGACCUUUCUAGCACUGGGAAAGAUUGUGCUUCUUCUCUGAAGUAUUACUUGCCAUCUGAAGCAUCUUCUCGGGGCCAUGUCAGAAGGAUUACAACCAUUUCGUUUGAAGAUUACCACAGGAUGUGGUCAGGAAUAGCCACAUCAAAAGCAACAGAACAUUUUAAAGCCCCAUUGUUUGAAGAUCCAACAUUUAUAGGGAACUGCUAUGGCUGGAAGGCAAAAAAUGUGAAAGAAACAGGAGAAUGGGAUGAGAAUACAUACAAUGCUAUUGUCUCUCAACUCAUCAGAAAGCAAAGGCAACAAACAAUAGAUGGGAAACUGAUAGAAAUUAGGAAAAUGGAACAGGACAACAACCUGCUUUACCAAACUCCAGGUUGUGCUGUUAACAUAGGGACUCCAGUCUAAAGGUUGUGUUGUAAAUAUAGGGACUCCAGUCUAAAGGCAAACUAGGAAGCUUCCCUUGGGCAGACCCUGCACCUCAGCUUAGAGUGGCAUUUGGGCAUCUCUCUCUGACUCAGGGCCAGAUUUUGAGAACAUAUUCAUGCUGAGUAGUUGCUGACUCCAUGAAUACUCCCAUUGAAGACAACAGGAUUACUGGUGCAGUAAAAUGCUAUUCAGUAUUAGUAAAGGAAUCCGAAAUCUAGUCCUUUAUGUUUUAGAGAAAGCACUAUGGGGGAACUUUGAGACUAUAUAGCUACAGGCAUUAGAACUCCUGAGGGCCUUGUCUGUUGAAAAUGAUCUCAAGCAUUGACAGAAAGAAAAAAAAAUGUGAAUGGAAAAC